Camellia sinensis is the source of this 516-nucleotide non-coding RNA. Lineage: Eukaryota; Viridiplantae; Streptophyta; Magnoliopsida; Ericales; Theaceae. The record is from RefSeq and is a predicted model, not a curated record.
AGAAGAAGAUGAGAGAGAGAGAGAGAGAGAUAGAGAGAGAAUUGAGAAACGGAGACAUAUACAGAGAGAGAGAGAGAGAAGGAGAAAGAGAAGCAGUCUCUACCCAACCAACAAAAUACAUACGAGUUCAGAGAGAGAGAUAGAGAGAGAGAUUGUUAUAUUUGGGCUUUCUUUGUUUUGAAGAAAAAGAAACGCCAAUGGUUAUUCUUCUCUGACAUGGAGGAACUCUUUCACUGGAAUUUCUGAGAAGAUUCGGUCCAGAUUUCUUUGAGCAGCCGUAGAUCUCAAGAUAUGAUGAUGAUGAUGAUGGAGAAAGAAGAGAAGAAUGAGAGAGUAUUGUGUGAGCCAGCAGGAGCAGGAGCAGGAGCGGGAGCGGGAGCGGGAGCGGGAGCAGAGCCGAAUUUGUUCCUACAGUGGGGUAAUGGGAAGAGACUGAGAUGUGUGAGGGUGAGAGACCCACAUAUCUCCGAACCAUCAUCCUCUAACGCCGCUCGAUUUCGCCGCAAAAUAACAUAG